CCUCGUUCCUAUUGGCCGCCGUGGCUGUCAAUCACCUCCUGCCCGGGCUGGGCGUGGCCGCGGCGCUGGCGCUGGGGGAGGGGCUUGUGGGGGGCGGGGCCUACGGGAACGCCUUCAGCAACCUGGGCGAGCAGGUGCCCCUCCCCCAGCAGCCGCUGGCCAUCGCUGUGGUCACUCUGGGGGCCGAAGUCGCCAUCGCUGCGGCCGGAGCGGCCGGACUGGGGGCGCACGCGGCGUUCUGCGGCCGGGAGUGACCCUGAGUGACCACUGAGUGACCACUGACCAGUGAGUGACCAUGAGUGACCACUGAGUGACCGCUGAGUGACCACUGAGUGACCACUG
This 342-nucleotide long non-coding RNA is filed under the name Junco hyemalis (dark-eyed junco). RNAcentral describes it as "lncRNA (ENSJHYG00000008715.1)". The record is from RNAcentral. Lineage: Eukaryota; Metazoa; Chordata; Aves; Passeriformes; Passerellidae.